GACCGCGUAGCUCAGUUAGCAGAGCAUUGGGCCUAAUGCUCAGUUGGCAGAGCAUUGGGCCUAAACUAGCCCAAUGCUCUGCCAACUGAGCUAUGCGGUCAGGUCGGUUUGAGUAUGUCCAAAGGUCAUUGGUUCGAUUCCCACCGUGGACA
Paramuricea clavata is the source of this 152-nucleotide non-coding RNA. NCBI's taxonomy places the organism in Eukaryota, Metazoa, Cnidaria, Anthozoa, Malacalcyonacea, Plexauridae. The record is from the annotation of a GenBank genome assembly.